GACAGCAGCUCACAGCUGCAAGAGGCCACCAUGGAGCAGUCUUUGGAGGAUUGACCAUGAGGACAUGACGCCAGCUCGAUAUCAUCGCCGCUGUCACUGUACACAAGCAGGCAGCCAACAGCAAAUAUUUAUCUGGUGGUUUACCCAGGGUCUAUGCAGUCCUGGAUGUCAGCAACCCAGGAGUUUUUCUGCAGUGAGUCGAUGGUUUCCAGGAUGUACUCGCCCCCGUUUUCCACCUGUGGAAG
Long non-coding RNA from Etheostoma spectabile (orangethroat darter), 245 nucleotides. RefSeq lists it as uncharacterized. Lineage: Eukaryota; Metazoa; Chordata; Actinopteri; Perciformes; Percidae. The record is from RefSeq and is a predicted model, not a curated record. The transcript has 2 exons.